Ascaris lumbricoides (common roundworm) is the source of this 84-nucleotide non-coding RNA. The record is from Rfam. NCBI's taxonomy places the organism in Eukaryota, Metazoa, Nematoda, Chromadorea, Rhabditida, Ascarididae.
UUGCCACAUUCUUUGCUGGGCAUGGCUCUAUGUCAUGCUAUCUAGUUUCAUGACUAGAUCCAUACUCAGCUAGGAGUGUGGCUC